GAAAUGCGAUAAUUAAUGUGAAUUGCAGAAUUCAGUGAAUCAUCGAGUCUUUGAACGCACAUUGCGCCCCCUGGUAUUCCGGGGGGCAUGCCUGUCCGAGCGUCAUUGCUGCCCUCAAGCACGGCUUGUGUGUUGGGCUUCCGUCCCUGGCAACGGGGACGGGCCCAAAAGGCAGUGGCGGCACCAUGUCUGGUCCUCGAGCGUAUGGGGCUUUGUCACCCGCUCCCGUAGGUCCAGCUGGCAGCUAGCCUCGCAACCAAUCUUUUUAACCAGGUUGACCUCGGAUCAGGUAGGGAUACCCACUGAACUUAAGC
This 314-nucleotide unclassified non-coding RNA is filed under the name plant metagenome. RNAcentral describes it as "partial contains 5.8S ribosomal RNA, internal transcribed spacer 2, and large subunit ribosomal RNA". The stretch from base 1 to 105 matches the Rfam family "5.8S ribosomal RNA", at positions 50 to 154 of the family's 154-position model. The record is from RNAcentral.